RNAcentral lists this ribosomal RNA (493 nucleotides) under uncultured bacterium. RNAcentral's name for it is "partial 16S ribosomal RNA". It matches the Rfam family "Bacterial small subunit ribosomal RNA", at positions 29 to 523 of the family's 1533-position model. The record is from RNAcentral.
AUUGAACGCUGGCGGCAUGCUUUACACAUGCAAGUCGAACGGUAACAGGUUAAGCUGACGAGUGGCGAACGGGUGAGUAAUGCAUCGGAACGUGCCCGGUCGUGGGGGAUAACGCAGCGAAAGCUGCGCUAAUACCGCAUACGAUCUGAGGAUGAAAGCGGGGGACCGUAAGGCCUCGCGCGAUCGGAGCGGCCGAUGUCAGAUUAGGUAGUUGGUGGGGUAAAGGCUCACCAAGCCAACGAUCUGUAGCUGGUCUGAGAGGACGACCAGCCACACGGGGACUGAGACACGGCCCAGACUCCGACGGGAGGCAGCAGUGGGGAAUUUUGGACAAUGGGCGAAAGCCUGAUCCAGCAAUGCCGCGUGCAGGUAGAUGGCCUUCGGGUUGUAAACUGCUUUUGUACGGAGCGAAAAGGUCUCCUCUAAUACAGGGGGCUCAUGACGGUACCGUAAGAAUAAGCACCGGCUAACUACGUGCCAGCCGCCGCAGUAA